AAGAAAUUAGUUAACUUAUAUAACAUUAGUAUGUCAAACUAAAAUUAUCGAUAGAUAUUUCUUU
This 64-nucleotide transfer RNA is filed under the name Balta valida. RNAcentral describes it as "tRNA-Asp". The record is from RNAcentral. Lineage: Eukaryota; Metazoa; Arthropoda; Insecta; Blattodea; Pseudophyllodromiidae.